This 497-nucleotide ribosomal RNA is filed under the name uncultured bacterium. RNAcentral's name for it is "partial 16S ribosomal RNA". It matches the Rfam family "Bacterial small subunit ribosomal RNA", at positions 28 to 507 of the family's 1533-position model. The record is from RNAcentral.
GACGAACGCUGGCGGCGUGCCUAAUACAUGCAAGUAGAACGCUGAAGAGAGGAGCUUGCUCUUCUUGGAUGAGUUGCGAACGGGUGAGUAACGCGUAGGUAACCUGCCUUGUAGCGGGGGAUAACUAUUGGAAACGAUAGCUAAUACCGCAUAACAAUGGAUGACACAUGUCAUUUAUUUGAAAGGGGCAAUUGCUCCACUACAAGAUGGACCUGCGUUGUAUUAGCUAGUAGGUGAGGUAAUGGCUCACCUAGGCGACGAUACAUAGCCGACCUGAGAGGGUGAUCGGCCACACUGGGACUGAGACACGGCCCAGACUCCUACGGGAGGCAGCAGUAGGGAAUCUUCGGCAAUGGGGGCAACCCUGACCGAGCAACGCCGCGUGAGUGAAGAAGGUUUUCGGAUCGUAAUGCUCUGUUGUAAGUCAAGAACGGGUGUGAGAGUGGAAAGUUCACACUGUGACGGUAGCUUACCAGAAAGGGACGGCUAACUACGUG